CAGCCGUAAACGAUGUGCGUUAGGUGUAUCGACGACCACGAGUCGUCGAGGUGCCGAAGGGAAACCGUGAAACGUACCGCCUGGGAAGUACGGUCGCAAGGCUGAAACUUAAAGGAAUUGGCGGGGGAGCACCACAACAGGUGGAGCCUGCGGUUUAAUUGGAUUCAACGCCGGACAUCUCACCGGAUAAGACAGCUGAAUGAUUGUCAAUCUGAAGGUUUUACAUGACUAGCUGAGAGGUGGUGCAUGGCGUCAGUGACU
RNAcentral lists this ribosomal RNA (261 nucleotides) under uncultured archaeon. Its description in RNAcentral is "partial 16S ribosomal RNA". It matches the Rfam family "Archaeal small subunit ribosomal RNA", at positions 748 to 1008 of the family's 1478-position model. The record is from RNAcentral.